GUAGAUGACCUUCUCCAUUGCCCUCCGGGAUGCAGUAACGGUUCCGUCAGGACGACGAAGGAAGGUCAUCUUG
RNAcentral lists this microRNA precursor (73 nucleotides) under Haemonchus contortus (barber pole worm). Its description in RNAcentral is "microRNA hco-mir-5951 precursor". The record is from miRBase by way of RNAcentral. Lineage: Eukaryota; Metazoa; Nematoda; Chromadorea; Rhabditida; Trichostrongylidae.